This is a non-coding RNA of Dissoconium aciculare CBS 342.82, 81 nucleotides long. Lineage: Eukaryota; Fungi; Ascomycota; Dothideomycetes; Mycosphaerellales; Dissoconiaceae. The record is from the annotation of a RefSeq genome assembly.
GCUGGCGUGGUGUAGUUGGUUAUCACGUUCGCCUCACACGUUGAACGCGAAAGGUCCUGGAUUCGAGCUCCAGCGCUAGUA